AACGAACGCUGGCGGCAUGCCUAACACAUGCAAGUCGAACGAGACCUUCGGGUCUAGUGGCGCACGGGUGCGUAACGCGUGGGAACCUGCCCUUAGGUUCGGAAUAACUCCCCGAAAGGGGUGCUAAUACCGGAUAAUGUCUUCGGACCAAAGAUUUAUCGCCUUUGGAUGGGCCCGCGUUGGAUUAGCUAGUUGGUAGGGUAAAAGCCUACCAAGGCGACGAUCCAUAGCUGAUCUGAGAGGAUGAUCAGCCACACUGGGACUGAGACACGGCCCAGACUCCUACGGGAGGCAGCAGUGGGGAAUAUUGGACAAUGGGCGAAAGCCUGAUCCAGCAAUGCCGCGUGAGUGAUGAAGGCCUUAGGGUUGUAAAGCUCUUUUACCCGGGAUGAUAAUGUCAGUACCGGGAGAAUAAGCUCCGGCUAACUCCGUG
RNAcentral lists this ribosomal RNA (433 nucleotides) under uncultured bacterium. Its description in RNAcentral is "partial 16S ribosomal RNA". It matches the Rfam family "Bacterial small subunit ribosomal RNA", at positions 29 to 507 of the family's 1533-position model. The record is from RNAcentral.